CUGUAAGAUGCUUUCAGUGUGAAGUAAGCCACUGAAUAAUGCAAGAUCAUCAAGCAGGAAGCAAGAAGAAACAAUGAACAGCAAGUUUAUCCUCACUUCACUCCUAGCACUGGCCCUUCCAGGGCCCAGGAGAGCAGACUGGAUCAGACCCCAAGAGACAGAAGUAUUUCAGACAGAAGGGAAGAAUGUAAACUUCCUUUGCACUUACAGUGCUUCAUCCACAAAAGCUGUUGAUCUCUACUGGUUUCGACAGUAUCCAAAUCAGGCACCAGAAUAUAUUCUCUACAGAGGAUGGGGACACUCUGGAAAAGGAGAUGCCAGUUUUGCCGCAGAAAGGUUUUAUUCGAAGAGUACAGCAAAUUCGGUAAACCUGUACAUCAGAAACGUGGUUCCCGCGGAUGCUGCUCUGUACUAUUGUGCGCUGAGAGUGGCACAAAGAGAACCCAUCAUAGGGGAGCCGUACAAGAACCCCGUGCACAGCAGGGAGAAGGCGGAACACCCAAAACCACACUGACUUUUUUUUUUCUGCAGAAGACGUCAUGGCAGUUAGGAGACAAUGAAUCAGGAGAAUUCUGCUCUAGCUAUACAGGAGUAAUAGCCAUACAAAUGUAGGCAUAUAGCUUAAGCGUUUAUAUUUCAGUGUUCUGAAAUUAGAGAUAAUAACUCCACUUUUUAAGCUGUUAUGAGACAUAACUUUAACACUUGGCUGAAGUGCCUGGCA
Molecule: non-coding RNA, 721 nt
Organism: Tupaia belangeri chinensis (Chinese tree shrew)
Lineage: Eukaryota; Metazoa; Chordata; Mammalia; Scandentia; Tupaiidae
Source: the annotation of a RefSeq genome assembly